Molecule: long non-coding RNA, 460 nt
Organism: Leptopilina boulardi
Lineage: Eukaryota; Metazoa; Arthropoda; Insecta; Hymenoptera; Figitidae
Exons: 3
Source: RefSeq, a predicted model, not a curated record
AUCACCAGUGUCACUAGUACAAUUCAAAAUAUGAAUCGAAAAUAUUUUAAAUAUCUACAACCAAAUUCUAUGGAUCCCAUACCAGCGAGUACAAAAUAUCGCAGUUUAAAACGUCGCAAACAGGAAGAAACUGUUGCUAGAUGCCAUAAAAGGAAACCUAUCCAAGAUAACGAUGAUCCUCAAGAUAUUCAGAUCCAAGUUAACAUGAAAACGGUGUGUCAGAUUGAUAACAAUUUGAAUUUCUAGCAAUUAAUUGCCUUUUUGUAUACAGGAAUUUAGCAUUGCCGAGGACAAUGGCGUAAAUAAUGCAGAAAAUUCAACUCUUCAGGAUAAUAAAGAGGAAUUUUUUCUUGCUAAUGAUCAUUUUUUUGAAAAUGAGGAUUCUCAAAUAACUGCAGAAAAAAUAAAAACAAUUAUGACAGAAUUAACUGAUGAAUUGGAAAGUACUGAUCAAUAUGCU